CGUAGGCAGCGAGCGUUGUUCGGAGUUACUGGGCGUAAAGCGUGCGUAGGCGGUGGUCCAAGUCUGGUGUGAAAUCUCCCGGCUUAACUGGGAGGGUGCGCCGGAAACUGGGCCGCUGGAGUACGGGAGAGGCAAGCGGAAUUCCUGGUGUAGCGGUGAAAUGCGUAGAUAUCAGGAGGAACACCCGUGGUGCAGACGGCUUGCUGGACCGUGACUGACGCUGAGGCACGAAAGCGUGGGUAGCAAACAGGAUUAGAUACCCUGGUAGUCCACGCCCUAAACGAUGCAUACUUGGUGUGGGCAGUUCAGUCUGUCCGUGCCGAAGCUAACGCGAUAAGUAUGCCGCCUGGGGAGUACGGUCGCAAGGCUG
This 370-nucleotide ribosomal RNA is filed under the name uncultured organism. Its description in RNAcentral is "bacterial SSU rRNA". It matches the Rfam family "Bacterial small subunit ribosomal RNA", at positions 526 to 896 of the family's 1533-position model. The record is from RNAcentral.